GGAUAGCCGGGAGGCGCUGAAGCAGAGUCGUCAGGCUCUGUGGAGCCAUCCUUGAAAUACCGGCCUUGGCAAGUCGGAAAUCUAACAAGACCCUAUGAAUCUAGGGCUUGGACCAUGCCAGAUGGGCAGUUUGACUGGGGCGGUUUCCUCCUAAAAAGUAACGGAGGAGUGCGAAGGUACACUCAGCACGGUUGGCAACCGUGCGUCGAGCAUAUGGGUAGAAGUGUGCUUAACUGUG
Molecule: ribosomal RNA, 238 nt
Filed under: Symbiodinium sp. clade D
Lineage: Eukaryota; Dinophyceae; Suessiales; Symbiodiniaceae
Description: partial Bacterial large subunit ribosomal RNA
Rfam family: Bacterial large subunit ribosomal RNA
Source: RNAcentral